Molecule: long non-coding RNA, 2112 nt
Organism: Onychostruthus taczanowskii (white-rumped snowfinch)
Lineage: Eukaryota; Metazoa; Chordata; Aves; Passeriformes; Passeridae
Exons: 3
Source: RefSeq, a predicted model, not a curated record
UCUGAGGAAUUGUUGGAUCAGUCCCUGUCACAGGAUCUAUCCGCAGACCUUUAUGACAUUUAGAAAAGGGUGCAUUUCUUAGAGCCAUUCUGCCUAAAAACAUUACUGCAGCUCUUCAUUAGCUCCUCCAGCAGCUUUCUCGGGAACAGGAAUAAAACCCUCCCCUCACUCUUUUUUCCUGCUGUGAAUUUUGCCAGACACAGCAUGAACUUCUCGGUAACGUACAGCUCUAGGACAAAGAUGAUAAGGCCUUGUUUCUAGCCCUGCCUUGGGACUGCAACAGUGACAGAUGAAUGCUUGUCCAGUCAAGACACACUUUGGCACAUCUCACCACUCCUCACCAUCAGAGGCAUCAGGGGAGGCAGCAGAGAGGGGGGGAAUGAAUCCUGUCAACUGCCAUCUGCCUGCACUCACAGGCCAAAGCUGCAGAAUGGAUCCUUUCAAGGUGGAGCAGCAGAGAGCAAGUGCCUUCUGGCCCUGAGUAUAAAUCCUGGAGGAGUCCCUACACUGUGCUCCCCCUAAUUUCUUAGCCAUUAGGCAGUGAUUCUUGGAAACAUCAGCCUUUUUUAAGCACCAAGAAUCUCCAAUCUGUGAUGCUCCUGAACACAGCAAUUACUUCUUGUAGCAUUUUCUCAUGGGGUAUGGGAGAAGGGCAUGAAAACGAGGCCCCAGGUAGAUAUUCCAUCCAAGAUUUUCAGGCAUUUUUGUAGUCAGGAAGGGAGAGGAAACUCUUGCAGUUUUCCACCAGGCAAGGACAGCUCUCUAUGGCCACAGGGCACUGCUUUUAAACCCCGUCUCAGUGGAGAGGGCGCAGCUGGUUCUACAGCCUGUCUGAACAGAAGGAGCUUGCUCAGAAAGUUAAGCCCCACCUCGACACAAGCCCAGUGUGGGCAGGUUUUCUUAAGUCCCCCUUGUCCUCAACCCAACAAUGUGAGAGAAUAAUUUCUCUACUGCUCUGGCUGAGGGAGAAGGGUGGGAUUUGACAUCUACGGAUGUGACUCGGGAAGAAGUGAUGAGAAUGCAGCUGCCUCCCCCCGUGCUUUGUUGUUAUUCUUUCUCCAAAUACAAACUAAAUAUAACUUUGCCCGAUAACAUUCAAAUAAUUUUAGUUACUAGCAGGGAUCAUGCCUGGAGUUCCAGGGGCCAGGGUGCAAUCAGGCUUAAAAUAUAAUUUCAACAAUCCAGAAACUACAUUUUCCACAAAGUUAUUUUCUUGCUUGUAGUUUCCCCAUCUGCAAAUACAUAUAAACACAACCAGAAAGAAACCAACAAGCUCAGCCAGAUGCCAAGUUUUCUGUUCAAGAUCAUAUAAACUCAGUCAAACAUUAACAAGGAAAUGCCAUGAUCACCUCAUUUGUUUUAAAUAUUUCUGCUCAUAUACAUGCAGACAAGUGUGCAGAUUUAUUUGCCUCAUUUACGAAUACAAGCAACUGGAAUCCCCAUUCUGUUCCAUUAUAUAAAAGACAGACCCUACACCUGUCUCACUGAACAGCUGGGCAAUUUUCAAUUUAUAUCCACUAUCCUACACCACAGAAAAGCCCCACUUGCUGCUCUGCUGCUGACACUGCUUUACUAGCAUUCCUGCUCUCCUCCCCAGUGCCUUGGGAAGGGAUAGUAGUUGCCAUUUCUUGGCAAAAGGAGUUAUGUAAAACCCAAGAAAGCUUCUUUGCUUUAGCAAAUAGCUAUUUCCAGGAAGCAGCAAAAACAACUUCUAGAAGUGUAUUUAAGACACAAGAGUGGAAUAGCCUGGAGCUUCCUGUCCAUAUUUCUCACAGACAAAAACACACACACAUGUAAUUAUAUCUUCCUGGACUGCACUGCAAAGUUCAUGCACUCAUUCAACUCAUACAUGUAGUAAACAUGAUUUACAGCUCUGUGUGAAAACCCUCUAAAUAUAUGAUGUUUUGAUAGUGACUCAAAACCCAGCACUAUAAUUUAGUAACACCUAGCAGUGAAAGCUAAAUGAUUUCCCACUUCACAUUCCUAACUUUCCAUGAACCCCUUUUUACUGCUAAGCUGGGGGGGAGAUACUGCUUCUGCAAUUGUUUGGACUUAUCCUUGCUAUUCCUACAACUGAACUGCUCACUAAUAUCAAGCUUCACAUAUGGUGAA